Molecule: ribosomal RNA, 504 nt
Filed under: uncultured bacterium
Lineage: Bacteria
Description: partial 16S ribosomal RNA
Rfam family: Bacterial small subunit ribosomal RNA
Source: RNAcentral
GAUGAACGCUAGCGACAGGCCUAACACAUGCAAGUCGAGGGGCAGCACAUGAGUAGCAAUACGAUGGUGGCGACCGGCGCACGGGUGAGUAACACGUAUGCAACCUACCUUCUACCAGGGGAUAACCCGUUGAAAGACGGACUAAUACCCUAUAAUACAGGGGCUCCGCAUGGAGAUAUUUGUUAAAGAUUCAUCAGUAGAAGAUGGGCAUGCGCAUGAUUAGCUAGUUGGCGGGGUAACGGCCCACCAAGGCAUCGAUCAUUAGGGGUUCUGAGAGGAAGGUCCCCCACACUGGUACUGAGACACGGACGAGACUCCGACGGGGGGAAGCAGUGAGAAAUAUUGUUCAAGGGGCGAGGGCCUGAACCAGCCAAGUCGCGUGAAGGAAGACUGUCCUAUGGUUUGUAACCUUCUUUGGUACGGGAAUAAAGGGGGCUACGUGUGGCUUUUUGUAUGUCCCGUACGAAUAAGGUUCGGCUAACUCCGUGCCAGCCGCCGCGGUAA